This 1962-nucleotide ribosomal RNA is filed under the name human gut metagenome. Its description in RNAcentral is "bacterial LSU rRNA". It matches the Rfam family "Bacterial large subunit ribosomal RNA", at positions 1 to 1977 of the family's 2925-position model. The record is from RNAcentral.
GUAAAUAAUUAAGGGCGUAUGGUGGAUGCCUAGGCUCUCAGAGGCGAUGAAGGACGUGAUAAGCUGCGAAAAGCUCCGUUUAGGUGCAAAUAACCUUUGAUGCGGAGAUCUCCGAAUGGGAUAACCCAAUAUGUUGAAGACAUAUUAUACCGUAAGGUAGGCAAACGCAGGGAACUGAAACAUCUAAGUACCUGCAGGAGAAGAAAACAAACGUGAUUCCCCCAGUAGCGGCGAGCGACCGGGGAUAAGCCCAAACCGUUAUUGUUUCGGCAGUAGCGGGGUAGUAGGACUGCGACAUUGAUGAAAUAAAUGAAAUGGAACACUUUGGAAAAUGUGAUCACAGAGGGUGAUAAUCCCGUACAUGCAAGUUUAUGAAUCAUAGCAGACUCCUGAGUAAGUCGGGACACGUGUAAUCCUGACCGAAUCCGCCGGGACCAUCCGGCAAGGCUAAAUACUCCUGAGAGACCGAUAGUGAACCAGUACCGUGAGGGAAAGGUGAAAAGCACUUCGAACAGAAGAGUGAAAUAGUCCCUGAACCCAUACGCCUACAAGCAGUCGGAGCCGCUUCGUGCGGUGACGGCGUGCCUUUUGCAUAAUGAGCCUACGAGUUACUCAUCACCAGCGAGGUUAAGUACUUCAGGUACGUAAGCCGAAGCGAAAGCGAGUCUGAAUAGGGCGUCAAGUUGGUGGUGGUAGACGCGAAACCUUAGUGAUCUACCCAUGGGCAGGGUGAAGGUUUGGUAACACAAACUGGAGGCCCGAACCGGUAAACGUUGAAAAGUUUUCGGAUGACCUGUGGGUAGGGGUGAAAGGCCAAUCAAACUGGGAAAUAGCUCGUACUCUCCGAAAUGCAUUUAGGUGCAGCCUCUGUUGUUUUGUUCUAGAGGUAGAGCUACUGAUUGGAUGCGAGGGCUUCACCGCCUAUCAAAUCCGGCCAAACUCCGAAUGCUAGAACAUGAAGACAGGGAGUGAGCCAGCGGGUGCUAAGGUCCGUUGACGAAAGAGGGAGAACUCAGACCAUCAGCUAAGGUCCCCAAUUGUAUGCUAAGUUGGAAUUAAAACGGGGUGGGACUGCUUAGACAGCUAGGAUGUUGGCUUGGAAGCAGCCAUUCAUUUAAAGAGUGCGUAACAGCUCACUAGUCGAGCGGUCCUGCAUGGAUAAUACGCGGGCAUAAGCAUAUAACCGAAGCUAUGGGAUUGUAGAUGAUACAAUCGGUAGGAGAGCAUUCCAUUCAGCAUAGAAGCAGUACCGUGAGGUAUUGUGGAGCGGAUGGAAAAGCAAAUGUAGGCAUAAGUAACGAUAAUGCGGGUGAGAACCCCGCACGCCGAAAGAUCAAGGAUUCCCCGGCAAUGUCAAUCAUCCGGGGGUAAGUCGGAUCCUAAGGGUAAGCCGAGUGGCGAUCCCGAUGGCAAACAGGUUAAUAUUCCUGUACUGAUCAUAACUGCGAUGCAGCGACGCAGAGGUGACACUGCUGCGUACUGACGGAAUAGUACGUUGAAACCCGUAUUCUUUGAUACCGGUAGUGAAGCACGCCGGUAGAGAUGAAAGGUGAUAGUACCGCAAUGCUUCGGUUGCGCGGAUAACGCAGGUAAGCUGACUGCCAAGAAAACCUGCUAAGCUUCAGGUAAUGAUCAUCCGUACUGUAAACGGACACACGUGAUCAGGUAGAAAAUACUAAGGCGCUCGAGAGAUUCAUGGUUAAGGAACUAGGCAAAAUGGUCCUGUAACUUCGGGAUAAAGGACGCUCUUGUGAAAGAGCCGCAGAUAAUAGGCCCAGGCGACUGUUUACCAAAAACACAUGGCUAUGCUAAUUCGCAAGAAGAUGUAUAUGGCCUGACACCUGCCCGGUGCCGGAAGGUUAAGAGGAGAGCUCAGAGGCAACUCGAAGGUUUGAAUUGAAGCCCCGGUAAACGGCGGCCGUAACUAUAACGGUCCUAAGGUAGCGAAAUUCCUUGUCGGGU